RNAcentral lists this ribosomal RNA (497 nucleotides) under uncultured bacterium. Its description in RNAcentral is "partial 16S ribosomal RNA". It matches the Rfam family "Bacterial small subunit ribosomal RNA", at positions 28 to 507 of the family's 1533-position model. The record is from RNAcentral.
GACGAACGCUGGCGGCGUGCCUAAUACAUGCAAGUUGAGCGCUGAAGGUUGGUACUUGUACCAACUGGAUGAGCAGCGAACGGGUGAGUAACGCGUGGGGAAUCUGCCUUUGAGCGGGGGACAACAUUUGGAAACGAAUGCUAAUACCGCAUAAAAACUUUAAACACAAGCUUUAAGUUUGAAAGAUGCAAUUGCAUCACUCAAAGAUGAUCCCGCGUUGUAUUAGCUAGUUGGUGAGGUAAAGGCUCACCAAGGCGAUGAUACAUAGCCGACCUGAGAGGGUGAUCGGCCACAUUGGGACUGAGACACGGCCCAAACUCCUACGGGAGGCAGCAGUAGGGAAUCUUCGGCAAUAGGCGAAAGUCUGACCGAGCAACGCCGCGUGAGUGAAGAAGGUUUUCGGAUCGUAAAACUCUGUUGGUAGAGAAGAACGUUGGUGAGAGUGGAAAGCUCAUCAAGUGACGGUAACUACCCAGAAAGGGACGGCUAACUACGUG